CCGCCGGAGCCGGAGCACGCGCUGCGCAGGACCCCCUCCUGGAGCAGCCUCCUGGGACCUGAGCACCAAGAGAUGAGCUUCCUAGAGCAAGGAGAUAGCACUUCAUGGCCGUCACCAGCCAUGACCACCAGCUCAGAAAGAAGCCAUGGGGAACAGGGGACCAAGGCUUCAAGAUGGACAAGGCAGGAGGAUGUAGAGGAAGGGGAGCCGCCAGGCCUGGGGGAAGGUCUCCAGUCCAGGCCAGCUGCUGAGUCCACCGGGCUGGAGGCCACAUUCCCCAAGGCCACACCCUGGACCCAAGCUGCUCCCUUGGCUGGGGUGGGCUCCCCCACAGCAGAGCGGGACAUCCUCCCCCCUGACUGUGCAGCCUCAGCCUCCAGCUCCAGCACAGACGAUCUGGAUGUGGGCAUAGAGUUCUCAGCCACAGCAGCCUGGGGCGAUGAGCUCGGCCUGGUGGAAGAGAGGCCGGCCCCAUGCCCGUCCCCGCAGGCACUGUUACCCAGGCUGAGCUGGGACGAUGAGCUGCAGAAGCCAGGGGCCCAGGUCUACAUGCACUUCAUGCAGGAGCACACCUGCUACGAUGCCAUGGCAACCAGCUCCAAGAUAGUCAUCUUCGACACCAUGCUGCAGAUCAAGAAGGCCUUCUUCGCCCUGGUGGCCAAUGGCGUCCGGGCGGCACCUCUGUGGGACAGCAAGAAGCAGAGCUUUGUGGGGAUGCUGACCAUCACAGACUUCAUCUUGGUGCUGCACCGCUAUUACAGGUCCCCCCUGGUCCAGAUCUAUGAGAUUGAAGAACAUAAGAUUGAGACCUGGAGGGAGAUCUACCUUCAAGGCUCCUUCAAGCCUCUGGUCUCCAUCUCUCCCAGUGACAGCCUGUUCGAAGCCGUCUAUACCCUCAUCAAGAACCGGAUCCACCGCCUGCCGGUCCUGGACCCAGUCUCAGGCGCUGUGCUCCACAUCCUCACACACAAGCGGCUGCUCAAGUUCCUGCACAUCUUUGGCACCCUGCUGCCCAGGCCCUCCUUCCUCUCCUGCACCAUCCAAGAUGUGGGCAUCGGCACGUUCCGAGACUUGGCCAUGGUGCUAGAAACGGCACCCAUCCUGACCGCACUGGACAUCUUUGUGGACCGGCGCGUGUCUGCACUGCCUGUGGUCAACGAAGCUGGACAGGUCGUGGGCCUCUACUCCCGCUUUGAUGUGAUUCACCUGGCAGCCCAACAAACAUACAAUCACCUGGAUGUGAGUGUGGGAGAAGCACUGAGGCAGAGGACACUGUGUCUGGAGAAAGUCGUUUCCUGCCAGCCCCACGAGACCUUGGGGGAAGUCAUCGACCGGAUUGUCCAGGAGCAGGUGCACCGGCUGGUGCUCGUGGAUGAGACCCAGCACCUCCUGGGUGUGGUGUCCCUCUCCGACAUCCUUCAGGCUCUGGUGCUGAGCCCUGCUGGCAUCGACGCCCUCGGGGCAUGAGAGCAUCAGAGUCUUCACUCUUAGGCCACCUUCCACACCCGGAAGCCAGCGAAGGGAGCCGGGGACUCGGCCUUCACCUCCCCCCACCCCCCUUUUGCUGGUUCGGCUCUUGUUCAGGCUUCUGCAGCCCUUCCCAAUUGCCCUGCCCUGCCUGUGCUCCCAGAAGACCUCAGGAAUGCCUGGUCCACCAUGGAAUGAUGAAAUUAAGAACAGCUGAGUCAAGCCUGGAGCUCUCUGAACCAGAGGCACUAGGAUUACCCCAGGGCUGACUGAUUUGUACCACCCACACUGCUCUCCCCCUACCUGGCCCCGGUGGGGUGGGGAGCCCUCAGUCCAUGGGUUCAGGAAGGGGUUCUGGAUUCCUCGGCUUCUGGACUACCUGACACCCGUGCCCCCAGCUCCUGGGGGUCCCAGGUGUGCUUCCCCCAUGGAAACUGCCCUAGCGGUUCCUCACAACUUUGCCACUGCCCUCCUACUCCCCCAGCAUUGCCUUUCAGGGCUGCCUAUGGGUCCCCACAGAGCAGCAGUUUUGUAGAGCUGCCUGUUGGAGAGGUCCCCCCUCCUUUCUCAUCCUUAGCUCUCACCAGCAAGCAGUGUUCUCAGUCCCCAGGGAGGGCCUGUGUUUGGAUCACUGAGGAUGAACCAUCGAGAAAACAAAAAGAAAAAGAACAGCCCGUGAACUUAGAUUUUAUAACUUUCACUCAGAAAAUGCUAUGGUCAUUUGAUCUGAACCUGCGGCAAGAUCCCUGUCCUUUCUGAAUUCAAUGACACCCGAAGGAAAAUCUGUAAUUGACAAACACUGCAAGUGGCGUUUCCUUUGCUUGUGGAGUGUUAUUCCACCGAAAUUUCUUUUUCAUCUUUUAUUUACAGCGAAACUCUAAAGAAAAUGUUAGUUACUUACAUAGUGGGUACAACUCAGUCCACAAACUCUAACAUGUAAGAAACGUAACUUAAUUUUUCUAACA
Orcinus orca (killer whale) is the source of this 2432-nucleotide RNA transcript. It is a transcript of the gene named protein kinase AMP-activated non-catalytic subunit gamma 3, with no coding region annotated. Lineage: Eukaryota; Metazoa; Chordata; Mammalia; Artiodactyla; Delphinidae. The transcript is spliced from 14 exons. The record is from RefSeq and is a predicted model, not a curated record.